RNAcentral lists this ribosomal RNA (467 nucleotides) under uncultured bacterium. Its description in RNAcentral is "bacterial SSU rRNA". It matches the Rfam family "Bacterial small subunit ribosomal RNA", at positions 355 to 825 of the family's 1533-position model. The record is from RNAcentral.
UGGGGAAUAUUGGGCAAUGGAGGGAACUCUGACCCAGCCAUGCCGCGUGCAGGAUGAAGGCGUUAUGCGUUGUAAACUGCUUUUUAUAUAGGAAGAAAUAGUCCUUGCGAGGAAAGUUGACGGUACUAUAUGAAUAAGCACCGGCUAACUCCGUGCCAGCAGCCGCGGUAAUACGGAGGGCGCAAGCGUUGUCCGGAUUUAUUGGGUUUAAAGGGUGCGUAGGCGGUUUAUUAAGUCAGUGGUGAAAGACGGUCGCUCAACGAUUGCAGUGCCAUUGAUACUGGUAGACUUGAGUAUGAUUGAGGUAGCUGGAAUGGAUAGUGUAGCGGUGAAAUGCAUAGAUAUUAUCCAGAACACCAAUUGCGUAGGCAAGUUACUAAGUCAUAACUGACGCUGAGGCACGAAAGUGUGGGUAUCAAACAGGAUUAGAUACCCGUGUAGUCCCUGAGCGGGCUGGCAAGGCGCAU